This 71-nucleotide transfer RNA is filed under the name Cordylochernes scorpioides. Its description in RNAcentral is "tRNA-Gly". Lineage: Eukaryota; Metazoa; Arthropoda; Arachnida; Pseudoscorpiones; Chernetidae. The record is from RNAcentral.
UGCAUCGGCCGGGGAUCGAACCCGGGCCGCCCGCAUGGCAGGCGAGCAUUCUACCACUGAACCACCGAUGC